This 72-nucleotide transfer RNA is filed under the name Bos taurus (domestic cattle). It matches the Rfam family "tRNA". Rfam says of the family: Transfer RNA (tRNA) molecules are approximately 80 nucleotides in length. Their secondary structure includes four short double-helical elements and three loops (D, anti-codon, and T loops). The record is from Rfam by way of RNAcentral. Lineage: Eukaryota; Metazoa; Chordata; Mammalia; Artiodactyla; Bovidae. RNAcentral also lists the same sequence under 2 other names.
UCCCUGGUGGUCCAGUGGUUAAGACUUUGUGCUUCCAAUGCAGGGGUGCAGAUUCGAUCCCUGGUUAGGGAA